AGAGGCACCCCUAUUUUGACCUGGAUGUGUUUGGUCUGGACAAGGCUGGUGAGGCAAGAGACCCUCGGAAAGGGACAGACAUUGCUUCCUGUCAUCUGGGCACAUGCAGAAAGCACACCAGCAAGAGAGCUUGGUGUGAGGAUCCUGCCAGGCUUCUGGCUAUUGGCUGCUGUGAACUCAAGGAACAUUCUCAGGAACCUGCUAUGAUUUCCAGCCUGCUGGUAGCUCUCACGGAUGCUCAUAAAGAGAGGAGAAGAUCCUGGACUUGAGAAACAUUGGGAGAAAAAUAAUGAAAACAGCCAAGGGAAGAAGCACAGAGGUCAGAGACCAGGACAUUGUUGCUGGGCAUGCAGGCUUCUGUGUCUUCUCCCUGUGGAUUUGUGGGGCCCUGGCAGCACUGCUUUCCUGACAUGCAGGGAGAACAAAUACUUCUGUAUUUAAGAUGGGGUUAUGUCCUGAUACAUCCAUCGUCAGCUGAAAAUACAUUUCAUCCUCCUGACCCGCUGAACAUCUUCACUUAGCCGCACAAUAUACCGUAGAAUGUUGGUCGCCUCCCCCCACACCCGUGAUCAUGGGCUGACUUAAAACUGUGAUCGCUGCUGCCACCCAGCAUCUCCAGAGAGGACUGGAUGUAAAGUGCUCAGGCGGUAUAUGGUACACAUAGAAAACAUUCAAUAAAUGCUUGUAACUACUGUAAUUAUUAUGACAACUUGCUAGAUUAAGAUUUUGGCUUUACCACAUGCUCACUGUAUGACCUUUCUCAGUCUUAGUAUCCUCACCUGUAAAAUAGGAGCAACAAUGCCUCUUCGUGAGGUUGUUAUAAAGAUUAAAUUUGUGUUCUGUUGCUUGCAUUUAGU
Long non-coding RNA from Fukomys damarensis (Damara mole-rat), 857 nucleotides. RefSeq lists it as uncharacterized. The transcript is spliced from 3 exons. Lineage: Eukaryota; Metazoa; Chordata; Mammalia; Rodentia; Bathyergidae. The record is from RefSeq and is a predicted model, not a curated record.